RNAcentral lists this ribosomal RNA (444 nucleotides) under uncultured fungus. RNAcentral's name for it is "eukaryotic LSU rRNA". The stretch from base 135 to 288 matches the Rfam family "5.8S ribosomal RNA". The record is from RNAcentral. Lineage: Eukaryota; Fungi.
UCCGUAGGUGAACCUGCGGAAGGAUCAUUAACAAGUCUCUGGGUGCGGGGAUUACUCUCCGACACUUGUGCUGCGCGCCCCGUGUGCGUAGAAUAACACAUUUACGUAUGACUGAUUUUGCAAAGAACACGAACAACUUUUAACAAUGGAUCUCUAGGCUCUUGCAUCGAUGAAGAACGCAGUAAAGUGCGAAAAGUAAUGCGAUUUGCAUGCUCUGUGAGUCAUCGAGUCUUUGAACGCAUAUGGCACCUCCAGGCCCUGCCCGGAGGUAUGUCUGUUUGAGAAUCAUAUAUACUUGAUUUCUAUUUGAUCUUUGAUCAACGAAUCGACUUGGGCUCACAUCACUGUCUGCCCGAAAGCAGCCGCGCUGUCGUGGGGUUACAAAUGCUGCGACAACGAACGCCACGUGAUCUCAAAUCAGACAGGACUACCCGCCGAACUUAA